ACUUUUUUUUUGUUUUUUAAGGAAAAAAAAUAUUCACCAACAAGUACAAAUGAUGCAUAUAUUUCAUGAAAAACAUCAAAAGACAAACUCAAAAUUAUUAAUGUACUAAUAAUUUUAUUUCAAAAACAAACUAAACCAUUUACAAUUGUUCAUGAAGAGUUUUUAUAUUUUGAUAACGGUUUACAACCUUUUCAUUUUGAAUUUCACGAAGUAUAUUUUUCUCAAUAUAAGUAACUAAAUAAUUAUUCAUCCAAGUGUCUUUCAUUCUAUU
Molecule: long non-coding RNA, 271 nt
Filed under: Coffea arabica (coffee)
Lineage: Eukaryota; Viridiplantae; Streptophyta; Magnoliopsida; Gentianales; Rubiaceae
Description: long non-coding RNA (CARA_LNC007909)
Source: RNAcentral